RNAcentral lists this ribosomal RNA (620 nucleotides) under Hepatozoon canis. RNAcentral's name for it is "SSU rRNA". It matches the Rfam family "Eukaryotic small subunit ribosomal RNA", at positions 200 to 808 of the family's 1831-position model. Lineage: Eukaryota; Apicomplexa; Hepatozoidae. The record is from RNAcentral.
GACGCAUUUAUUAGAUAAAAAGCCAGUUCAUGCUUUUACAGUAUGAAAAUUGGUGAUUUAUAAUAACUUAGCAAAUCGCAAAGUGAAAACAGGCGAUAAAUCAUUCAAGUUUCUGACCUAUCAGCUUUCGACGGUAUGGUAUUGGCUUACCGUGGCAGUGACGGUUAACGGGGGAUUAGGGUUCGAUUCCGGAGAGGGAGCCUGAGAAACGGCUACCACAUCUAAGGAAGGCAGCAGGCGCGCAAAUUACCCAAUUCUAACAGUUUGAGAGAGGUAGUAACAAGAAAUAACAAUACAAGGCAGUUAAAAUGCUUUGUAAUUGGAAUGAUAGAAAUUUAAACCCUUUUUAAAGUAUCAAUUGGAGGGCAAGUCUGGUGCCAGCAGCCGCGGUAAUUCCAGCUCCAAUAGCGUAUAUUAAAAUUGUUGCAGUUAAAAAGCUCGUAGUUGAAGUUCUGCUGAAAGUAACCGGUCUGCUUUUAAUAAAAGUGGUAUCUUGGUAUGUAUUUAGCAAUGAUGUCCUUUGAAGUGUUUUUUACUUUAUUGUAAUAAAGCAUAUUCAGGACUUUUACUUUGAGAAAAUUAGAGUGUUUCUAGCAGGCUGACGCUUUGAAUACUGCAGC